Molecule: ribosomal RNA, 112 nt
Filed under: Acanthosepion pharaonis
Lineage: Eukaryota; Metazoa; Mollusca; Cephalopoda; Sepiida; Sepiidae
Source: RNAcentral
ACGGUCAAAUCACGCUGAAACACCGGUUCUCGUUCGAUCACCGAAGUUAAGCAUCGUAGAGCCAGGUCAGUACUUAGAUGGGGGACCGCUUGGGAACACCUGGCACUGUAAG